UGGGGAAUUUUGGACAAUGGGGGAAACCCUGAUCCAGCCAUCCCGCGUGUGCGAUGAAGGCCUUCGGGUUGUAAAGCACUUUUGGCAGGAAAGAAACGUCGUGGGUUAAUACCCCGCGAAACUGACGGUACCUGCAGAAUAAGCACCGGCUAACUACGUGCCAGCAGCCGCGGUAAUACGUAGGGUGCAAGCGUUAAUCGGAAUUACUGGGCGUAAAGCGUGCGCAGGCGGUUCGGAAAGAAAGAUGUGAAAUCCCAGAGCUUAACUUUGGAAACUGCAUUUUUAACUACCGGGCUAGAGUGUGUCAGAGGGAGGUGGAAUUCCGCGUGUAGCAGUGAAAUGCGUAGAUAUGCGGAGGAACACCGAUGGCGAAGGCAGCCUCCUGGGAUAACACUGACGCUCAUGCACGAAAGCGUGGGGAGCAAACAGGAUUAGAUACCCUGGUAGUCCACGCCCUAAAACGAUGUCAACUAGCUGUUGGGGUCUUCGGACCUUGGUAGCGCAGCUAACGCGUGAAGUUGACCGCCUGGGGAGUACGGUCGCAAGAUU
RNAcentral lists this ribosomal RNA (549 nucleotides) under uncultured bacterium. RNAcentral's name for it is "partial 16S ribosomal RNA". It matches the Rfam family "Bacterial small subunit ribosomal RNA", at positions 355 to 895 of the family's 1533-position model. The record is from RNAcentral.